Xiphophorus couchianus (Monterrey platyfish) is the source of this 675-nucleotide long non-coding RNA. RefSeq lists it as uncharacterized. The transcript has 3 exons. NCBI's taxonomy places the organism in Eukaryota, Metazoa, Chordata, Actinopteri, Cyprinodontiformes, Poeciliidae. The record is from RefSeq and is a predicted model, not a curated record.
AGCAACGUCGCAGGCUCCAACACCACGGCGGGAGAGGAUGACUGAGAGAGGGAGAGCAACAGAGUAAGAGAGAGGCAGUUGGAGAGAGAGGGAGGAUGCAUAGACCUCUGCGUAGUGUAACACUGUUUAAUGCGGUCAGAUCAUCUUCUGUUUAGCCUGACAAAUUCAGAUGGAGUCGACUACAAUUGACUGCAAGUUUUAUGAAGUGAAGCAAAAGUGUAAGAAAGAAAUGUUCUCAAGACUGUCCAUGUUUGGUGCUCAAGAAAAAGCCUCCUCCUGCUGCUCACCACUAACUUUGGAGACCUUUAUCUCUCAAUGUCGCUCGACGUUGGGUAUCACCUAUUAUUUUAGAGAAUGUAUUCAUUGACAUGGACCACUAUCUCUGGAAUAAAGGUAAAUAUUGAUAAUAAUGUAUGAAAUGAAUCAACACAGAACUGUUAACUGCUUGCAAAAAGAAUAAGAAAAGAAAUGUAACUAUAUAUUUUCUUUUCAAUGCUCAACAGUGUUUUAAUUUGGAUUGUGAAUUUCUCAGCAGCUUGUGAAUUAAGAUGGAGGAAACUCCAGAUAUAACACAAGGAGAGGCACAUGUUUUGCACGUGUGAACAGUGUGAGAAUAAUGCUUCCUGCUUCACAUGAAUGAAUUUUUGAAAGUUUAAUUAUACCUGAUUAAAAGAC